CGAUCACGCAGGCAGCGCUUCCCCCAUUUAUCCCCUCGCGUUCCUCUGUUUCUCCUCGCGCCUUUCGUUUUUCUGCUGCUUUUCACGUGUUAUUUUCGGUUCCCUUGCAGCCUUGUCCCACUCUCCCUCCCACAGUCUCUGGCCUUGUCCGCCGGUCCUCUGCUGCCCUCGUGUGGCUCUAGGUGGAAAGGCAGCUUCCCCAGCCCCACCCAAGGUGCGGCUGGGGAUGGAGCUGGAGAUGAGCGCGAGGGGAUCCAGGUGUGGAUGGUCGGCACGGGUUUGGCUCCGCGCCUUUGACCUGAAUCUCACAAAGUCACCAAGUUGCCCAGGCCGGGCUAGAACUUGUGAGCCUCCUGCCUGAGGCCUUUCCAGAGUGCUUUCCAACGUGCUGGGGUUACAAGUGGGCACCACUGUGCUCAGGUUUAGAAGUUUCAGUCCAUGAUUGGUUGACCUGGUUGCUUUGGGCCUGGUGAGAGGCACCACAUCACGGCAGGUAAGUGUGGUACAGCAAAGCUGCUCACUUCAUGGUCAGGACAAAAGAAGAAAAGAGGAAGGGACUGGACUUCCACAAUCCCCUCUGAGACCAUGCCCCCAAAGACCUAAAGACCUCCCAUUACACCCGACCUUUCAAGGUUUCCAACACCUCCAAGAGUGCCAAGCUGGGGACCACAUCUUUACCACAUAGACCUCUGGGUCCCAUUCCAGAUCCCAACAGUAUCAGGCAGCAUAAAUAAAAAUUUCAGUAGAGCCAGGGAUUUAGCUCAGUGGCACUGUGCCUGCCUCACAAAUGCAAGAUCCUUGAGUUCAAUACCCGAUAUAUAUAUUUCAAUAGGGCUGGGGAUUUAGCUCAGUGGUUCUGGCACCUGCCUCGCAAGUGCAAGGUCCCGAGUUUGAUCCCUGGUACCAAAAAAACUCCAACAACACACAUAUAUAUAUUUCAAUAGAAAGGUUGUAAAAUAAAGCUGAGGGAAUGUCCAAAAUGGUGAAGCAAUUGGACAGAUGGAAAAUAUACAAGCAAAAAUAAAACAAGUUAGAGUUCCAAAUUCCAGA
RNAcentral lists this long non-coding RNA (1050 nucleotides) under Heterocephalus glaber (naked mole-rat). RNAcentral describes it as "lncRNA (ENSHGLG00100047983.1)". Lineage: Eukaryota; Metazoa; Chordata; Mammalia; Rodentia; Bathyergidae. The record is from RNAcentral.